GAGUUUGAUCCUGGCUCAGGAUGAACGCUAGCGGCAGGCUUAACACAUGCAAGUCGAGGGGUAACAUAAGGUGCUUGCACUUUGAUGACGACCGGCGCACGGGUGCGUAACGCGUAUAGAAUCUACCUUAUACUGGGGAAUAGCCUUUGGAAACGAAGAUUAAUGCCCCAUAGUAUCAUUUUUCGGCAUCGUUUAAUGAUUAAAGUUUCGGCGGUAUAAGAUGACUAUGCGUUCUAUUAGCUAGUUGGUAAGGUAACGGCUUACCAAGGCUACGAUAGAUAGGGGUCCUGAGAGGGAGAUCCCCCACACUGGUACUGAGACACGGACCAGACUCCUACGGGAGGCAGCAGUGAGGAAUAUUGGACAAUGGAGGCAACUCUGAUCCAGCCAUGCCGCGUGUAGGAAGACUGCCCUAUGGGUUGUAAACUACUUUUAUAUGGGAAGAAUAAGGUCUACGUGUAGACUGAUGACGGUACCAUAAGAAUAAGCACCGGCUAACUCCGUGCCAGCAGCCGCGGUAAUACGGAGGGUGCAAGCGUUAUCCGGAAUCAUUGGGUUUAAAGGGUCCGUAGGCGGGCUUGUAAGUCAGUGGUGAAAGUCUGUGGCUUAACCAUAGAAUUGCCAUUGAUACUGCAGGUCUUGAAUUAUUGUGAAGUGGUUAGAAUAUGUAGUGUAGCGGUGAAAUGCUUAGAGAUUACAUAGAAUACCGAUUGCGAAGGCAGAUCACUAACAAUAUAUUGACGCUGAUGGACGAAAGCGUAGGUAGCGAACAGGAUUAGAUACCCUGGUAGUCUACGCCGUAAACGAUGGAUACUAGUUGUUUGGCUUUCGGGCUGAGUGACUAAGCGAAAGUGAUAAGUAUCCCACCUGGGGAGUACGUUCGCAAGAAUGAAACUCAAAGGAAUUGACGG
RNAcentral lists this ribosomal RNA (911 nucleotides) under uncultured bacterium. RNAcentral's name for it is "bacterial SSU rRNA". It matches the Rfam family "Bacterial small subunit ribosomal RNA", at positions 9 to 916 of the family's 1533-position model. The record is from RNAcentral.